RNAcentral lists this transfer RNA (65 nucleotides) under Dipodomys ordii (Ord's kangaroo rat). It matches the Rfam family "tRNA". From Rfam's summary of the family: Transfer RNA (tRNA) molecules are approximately 80 nucleotides in length. Their secondary structure includes four short double-helical elements and three loops (D, anti-codon, and T loops). Lineage: Eukaryota; Metazoa; Chordata; Mammalia; Rodentia; Heteromyidae. The record is from Rfam by way of RNAcentral.
GGUGGCUCAAUGUUAGAGUGCUUGCCUUGCAUGCAUGAGGCCCUGGGUUCGAUUCCUCAGUACCA